GCAAGUCGAACGAUAACGGGUCUUAGCUUGCUAAGAGUGUCAGCUAAGUGGCGCACGGGGGAGUAAGAUAUAGGUAACCUGCUCUAGAGAGAGGGUUAACGUUUGUAAACGGAAGCUAUAACUCAUAUGCCUUUAAGUCAAAAGACUGCAAGGGAAACAUUUAUGGCUCUAGGAUGGGACUGUACGGUAUCAGUUAGUUGGUGAGGUAAUGGCUCACCAAGACAAUGACCCCUAACUGGUUUGAGAGGACGAUC
This 254-nucleotide ribosomal RNA is filed under the name uncultured bacterium. RNAcentral describes it as "partial 16S ribosomal RNA". It matches the Rfam family "Bacterial small subunit ribosomal RNA", at positions 57 to 305 of the family's 1533-position model. The record is from RNAcentral.